This 342-nucleotide ribosomal RNA is filed under the name uncultured bacterium. Its description in RNAcentral is "bacterial SSU rRNA". It matches the Rfam family "Bacterial small subunit ribosomal RNA", at positions 335 to 670 of the family's 1533-position model. The record is from RNAcentral.
ACUCCUACGGGAGGCAGCAGUGGGGAAUAUUGCACAAUGGGGGAAACCCUGAUGCAGCCAUGCCGCGUGUGUGAAGAAGGCCUUCGGUUGUAAAGCACUUUCAGUAGGGAGGAAGGUAGUGUAGUUAACACCUGCAUUAUUUGACGUUACCUACAGAAGAAGCACCGGCUAACUCCGUGCCAGCAGCCGCGGUAAUACGGAGGGUGCGAGCGUUAAUCGGAAUUACUGGGCGUAAAGCGCAUGCAGGCGGCCUGUUAAGUCAGAUGUGAAAGCCCGGGGCUUAACCUCGGAAUUGCAUUUGAAACUGGCAGGCUAGAGUCUUGUAGAGGGGGGUAGAAUUUC